RNAcentral lists this ribosomal RNA (251 nucleotides) under uncultured Blautia sp. RNAcentral's name for it is "partial 16S ribosomal RNA". It matches the Rfam family "Bacterial small subunit ribosomal RNA", at positions 88 to 339 of the family's 1533-position model. Lineage: Bacteria; Bacillati; Bacillota; Clostridia; Lachnospirales; Lachnospiraceae. The record is from RNAcentral.
GUUUCUAGUGGCGGACGGGUGAGUAACGCGUGGGUAACCUGCCUUAUACAGGGGGAUAACAACCAGAAAUGGUUGCUAAUACCGCAUAAGCGCACAGGACCGCAUGGUCCGGUGUGAAAAACUCCGGUGGUAUAAGAUGGACCCGCGUUGGAUUAGCUAGUUGGUGAGGUAACGGCCCACCAAGGCGACGAUCCAUAGCCGGCCUGAGAGGGUGAACGGCCACAUUGGGACUGAGACACGGCCCAGACUCC